GGAUAUAUUUCCGUUUGGUAAAAAUAUUAUUAUUCUCUCUAAUUGUCCAUCAAUUGCUUUUGAUUUUACCAAUUGGAAAGGGAAAAAAAAAAAACCCUCUUUUUAAAAAAAACCCAAAGGUUUAAUUUUAAAAAAAAAAAAAAAAAAAAAAAAAAGGUAUUCAAAAAUUCUGGAAUCUGAAGUACUUAUUGUUAUUCAUUAAAUAUAAAUUUAAGCUAUUUCACACAAUUUAUCCUGUGCUUAAGCCAGGCUACUGAUCAAGCUGGUUCAGAUAGAUUAGGUUACCAUAGACAUUCAGAUCCACCUCUUCUCCAUGUGAACAUACGCUGUCUUCUGGCCAAAAGCACAGCCCAGUCAGACCCUGCAGACAAGCAGACAAAACUGUCUUCAGCUCAAGGUUUGACUCCUUCAAGAUUUCAUCAUCCUUUUGCAUAACUAGCAGUAUGACGUUCCUUCAUCCCUUUCACAAUUUUCAUUUUGUAUGAGAAUGGAAGACUUCAGACAUGAAGCCCUGGAGUUCUCUUCAAUGACAAAGGAGAACUUGAUCAUGAUCAAGGGACUGAAAAAACCCAGAAUGACUGAUGUGCUGCUAGAAGAUUUCAAGAAAAACAGCCACAUGCUUCAGAUCAGUGUGGCUGGCUCCUGGAAACAUAUUCAUGUGGGGAACUUUAUACACAUUGAAGAGGACCCACAGAAGACAGCACGAUCUCUUUAUAGGUCUGCCUGUUGUUUAGCCCUAUCCAUGCCCGUUUGCUGCUGUGAUCAACUCACACACUGAACAAGGUUGGGGAAAUGAGAGACUACAAAAAUAGUGUUCCAGAGUAAAACCAGCUGAAAACAGAGAGACUUCAUUGAAAAAAAGUGGAGUUUGGAUAAGAGUUGACAGAGGCCUCCAUUCUGCUAAACCUGUCGCCUAUUAAUGUGUCCAGAACCACUCUCCGGCUCUGGGGAUGAGUGGCAUUAGCGCGGUCUGGAUUUACACAACCAGCCUGCCUCUUUGUACCUAACCCCAGUUACCACAUCCAUGCUGCCUCUUGGGAAGAGCCCUGGGUCUGCAAGAGUCACCCAAAUAAUGUUCGGUCAGCCCAAGCCAAAAUUGAACUAAACAAAGUGCAAAGAAGGAAACAGACUGUGUGACAGUCUCAAACCUGUCAGUUUGCCAUGAUAAACAGACCCUUUGGAACAGCAUAAUGAGAUAUGUUUCAUCCCAUCCCAUGUGUUAUGUUCAGGGACUGUUCCAGAAAGGGCCUGAUUCAAAGAACAUCAAAAUUGUUUGCAGUUUUCCCAGCGGUUUCAAUGGACUUUGCGAUCUACUCUUCAACAUUUGACAAUAAUCAGCAUUUUCCCUAGAACAUACUACUUAAAUGUACAGAAAUCUAAAUAAAAAAGUGUUCUCAUAAUUUUGAAAUCCUCA
Molecule: long non-coding RNA, 1414 nt
Filed under: Calidris pugnax (ruff)
Lineage: Eukaryota; Metazoa; Chordata; Aves; Charadriiformes; Scolopacidae
Description: lncRNA (ENSCPUG00000001162.1)
Source: RNAcentral